Molecule: ribosomal RNA, 402 nt
Filed under: Orbiniidae sp. RG-2014
Lineage: Eukaryota; Metazoa; Annelida; Polychaeta; Orbiniidae
Description: partial 16S ribosomal RNA
Rfam family: Bacterial large subunit ribosomal RNA
Source: RNAcentral
UGCCCAGUGACACAUGUGUUAAACGGCCGCGGUAACCUGACCGUGCUAAGGUAGCAUAAUCAUUUGCCUCUUAAUUGGUGGCUAGUAUGAACGGACAAACGAGAGCUAAGCUGUCUCUUACUCACAUUUAAAAACUAACAUUCAGGCGAAAAGGCCUGAAUAACCUUAUAGGACAAGAAGACCCUGUCAAGCUUUAUCAAUUACACCCAAUAAAAAAUAUUUCAAUAACAAAAUCGGGCCCAUUUGAUUUAGUUGGGGCGACUGGGGACUAACAUUAACGUCCCCCCACACACCAGGGUAAUAACCCGCUAAAAAUUGAUCCUUAUUAUAGACCAAGAGAGAAGCUACUGCAGGGAUAACAGGCUAAUUUUUCCUAAGAGCCCAAAUCGAAGGAAAAGUUUG